CUGCAUUAGAACCACAGAAUCAACCCCAACAGCCCCCACAACCUCAUCUGCAGCUGCAUCCCCAAGCACAGCAGCCUCCACAACCUCAACCGCAACUGCAUUAUCCUCAAUCACAGCAGCCCCUGCAACCGUUUACUCAGGCUCCACCACAGCAACCCCUGCAUCCUCAACUGCAACAGUAUACUCAGGCUCCACCACAGCAACCCCUACAACCUCCACUGCAGCUGUAUCCUCAGGCUCAACCUGAGCAACCGCUGCAGCCUCAAUCCUCAGGAUCAACCACAGGAACCUGUGUAAUCUCAGCUGCAGCUCCAUCUGCAACCGGCACCACUGCUGCUGCAACCUCCGCCCCAGCAAUCCCCGCAAUCUCAACUGCAGCUCCAUCAGCAACCCCAGCCGACGCUAGUGCCGCCGCCGCAACCUCAACCCCAGCCACCUGAACUGCAGCAGCCCCAGCCGCUAACACAACUGCAAGCGGAACAUGGCCUGGACUGGGACAGUUAGUGGUUCGGAACAUGUAGCGUCACUAUAAGUUAAGACUCUGCCUCCUUUAAAAUUGUGCGUUAGGUUUGCCUGCAUCUUGUACAAUGUAAAUCGUGUGUGAUUUCAGCCACCGUGUCUAAUAAUCUGAAGCUCUCUAGUAAGCGAUGUACUUACUGCGCUGGGUACUGUGUUUAUGACUGCUGUAGUCUCAUGGUAUUGUGUGUGACGUGUCAGAAGCUACUCCAUUACCAGUGUAAUCAAUUGCCUAACUUAAUGUUCACCCGUGAUGAUAGUAAUUGAUUUCAGUGUGCUACUGUUGGUUGAACCAUUGGUUGCAAGAUGCCAUCACAAAUACUGAAGUUUAUUACUUAUACAUGCUCAAUGUUCGAUUUUCUACUGGGUACUGUUCAUUUUGGCUUGUGCAGUCACUAGUUUUACACAUUUCGGCAUUCUCGCAUAAAUUGUUUGCAACUGAUCCACCUUUUUUUUAGAAUAAACUGAUCCACCAUCUUCUACUGUAUCACUUGGGAGAUGGCUGUUGGUUCAGUGGUUAGCACCAGUGUUUCAGUUCAUGGAUGCCUGAUGCCAAGUGAAUUGCUUUCCUUUGGGCUACAAAUCUUUGUUGGAUUUUGAAUUAAGGAGCAACCAUUCCAACUCCAAAAAAACAAACAACCUGUGGAUAUGGUACCAAAAAUGUCACGGGAGCAGCGGCCCAACCGAAUGUAAUAUCAGACGUCCAAAAUUGUGACAGAGAAGUGGCCCAACAGGUUUAGUGAUUGUUCGUAGCGAUCAAAGCGAGCGGGCGUUGGAUUAAGAUAACUAAUCUGAGGGUCAGAAAUGCCUAAAAAUGAUGAUCGAACAGCUGCAAAUGCUAUUAAUGGUUCAAGAGGGCAGGAAAGCUGCACAAUUUUAAUGUCUCCUCCAAACCAGACCCCAAAACCUACCCACCCGCCGCCAUCUCGGCCUACCUCCUCUCUUCCGUCCUCCAGCUAAAGGAGUGGUGUCCUCCUUCUAAUUUUUUUUUGAAGAAACAUGGUACAAACGUAGAUACUCACAUACACGUAUGCACACUCGCCCUAUGAGCACCCCCGAGAGAUUGAGCCGACAAAUCUUAAGAUUGAUGAAGUCCCCAUAGAUGCCUCGUAGUUGAUGGACACGCCAUACCGCCGGAAAAAUAGCGCCCAAGAACCUAAUAUAAAUUCAGGAAAUAUGCGAGCACCCAUUCUAAGUAUGACAUUUAAACCUGGGUGGGUUGAUUCCACCACAAGGAACCUAACCAUCUAUUAGUUCACUCUUUGAUGCUUUUUUGUCAUGUUUUUUCGUUGGUUUUUGUUUCACAAGCUGCAUCUGCGAGGUGGCGGUAGCAAUGACGCAUUGGAAUAAGGUUUCUUUGGUCUCUCUGUACCUUGAUGGGCCAAAUUUGAUGUUAACGAACGGUCUGCGAAGGUAUGUGUCAUCAGAUUGUUGGUUCUUUUCGGAUCUUGACAGUUAGUGUGUAUAUAAGGGAAGCAAACUGGUUAUUGGUGCAUCGACUUCGACAUCUUCAUUCCUUUUGUUCUGCGGCAAUGUCCACUAACUACAACCCUCGAGAUUGGCAUUGCAAACUUAGGCUGCGUGGGGUGCUGCCCCAACUGAUGUUUCUUUAAUGACUAUUAGAUCUUGUUAUUCGUGGCAAAUCGCUAUUGCGGUCCUCAAAGCCUUGUAGGGCGAUGGUGUUUGCAGGUGUCUCUAGUCCUUACUGCCUGAUCAACGUAUUUUUCAAGCUCCAAUGGAUGAUGAGCAAGUGAAGAAAGAAGAAGACUAAUAUGUUUUUCCAUGUAAUUUUACUUUUCAAAUGUCAUUUUGUGUCUUGUUCUUCGAUUGUCCUGUGUUUUUCUUGAUAAAUAUAUUGCUCUUUUCGUUUCAAAAUAAGUGUCGUUGAUUUAAUACAAUUUUAUACUCCAUCCGUUUCUUUUUACCCUGCGUAUAAAAUUUGGUCAAAGUCAAACUACACAAAGUUUGACCAAAUUUAUAUCAAAAAAUAUGAACAUCUGCAAUAUUAAAACUAUAUAAUAUGAAAAUACAUGUCAUGGUGCAUCUGAUAAUAUUGAUUUCAUAUUGUAAAUGUUGAUAUUUUCUAAUAUAAAAUUAGUCAAAGUUUACAAAGCUUGACUUUGACCGAACUUUAUAUGCAAAUUAAAAAAAACAGAGGGAGUACUAAAUCAGCUACACUUAUUUUGAAACUGAGGAAAUAGUAUAAAUAUAAAUCAGAUGCCAAUGUCUUUUCUUAAAAAAAAAUCCCAAACCCUACCCACCCGCCGCCGCCGCCGUCAAUGGCGAAGCGCCCGCGCCGGUCCUACUCCCUGGAGUCCCGCGUACGCCGAAUCAUCCUAUCAGAUGCCGGCCUCGCCAUCCCCGGCUCCUCCGCCGACGACGUCGCCCGCGCCAUUCGCUCCCGCCACCGCGAGUACCAACGCUACAAGCUUGAGUUAUUCGCCUCCGUCGUCCGCCGUGCCAUCUCCUCCCUACCUCCUCCCGGCGAUUCCUGCUCCGACGACAGCGCCCCCGGCUCCUCCCGCCGCCGCAGCAGCCAUGACGCCACAUCGUCCUCCACCACCACCCAUUCGCAAGCGCCGCCUUCCCCCGCAUAUGACGUCACGAAAUCGCUGCUGCGCUCCUGCUACUCCUCCCAAACAUCCAAACGAGACCCCGACGCUGACCAGCAGCUCGAGAUGGAGCUCGCCGUGGAGAAGGCUCUCAUGCGGCCUGAUGCUCAAGGAGGCCACGGUGGGCAAAAAAGGGUAAUGUUUGCUGACCUCGGGGGCAUGGAGUCGGUGAUAGAGCUGCUGAUGCUGGAGGUGGUGGUCCCGCUGUGCCAUCCGGAGCUGCCGCUGCACCUUGGAGUGCGGCCCGUGUCCGGGAUUCUGCUGCACGGACCGCCAGGCUGUGGGAAGACCACGCUUGCCCAAGCAAUUGCCGACGAGACCGGCGUGCCGUUCUACCCAACCUCGGCGACCGAAUUAGUGUCUGGUGUCUCCGGUAUGCGUCGGUUCUUAAUCUGCACCAAGUUUGUGCAUUACUAGCUCUUCUUGUGGAUAAAGUUUAGUUAUCGGGAGUAAUUUUGUUCUUGCAGGAGGUUCUGAGGAGAACAUCAGAACCCUGUUUAACAAGGCAUACAGGACUGCUCCCUCAAUUGUAUUUAUAGACGAGAUAGAUGCGAUUGCGUCGAAGCGGGAUGAUAUGCAGCGAGGAAUGGAACGACGGGUGGUUACACAGUUGAUGACAUGCAUGGAUGAAUUCCACCAGAACAUUCCAUCUGAUGCCGAUGACAUGGAGGAUGAUUCACAAUCAUACGAGAAGAAGCCUGGCUAUGUUAUUGUUAUUGGAGCUACAAACAGACCUGAUGCUGUCGACCAAGCGCUUCGAAGACCAGGAAGGUUUGAUCGGGAAAUAUAUCUUGGUGUUCCCGAUGAGAAUGCCCGGAAACAGAUACUGGAGAGGCUCACCCGGAAACUUCGAUUGCCCCCGAAAGGCCAGUUUGAUUUGUUGAAGAUAGCAAAGGCCACGCCAGGAUUCGUUGGUGCAGACUUGAAGGCGUUGGUUUAUACAGCAGGGAGUGUAGCUAUAAAAGGAUUUUUUAAUGCUAGAAAAGACAAGUUUCUCAAGGAAGGAAACAACCUGGACUACUUGAAGCAUCCUUUGGAUAAACACGAGGUGCAGCGCCUAAGUAUUAUUAUGGAUGACUUUGGGGUAAUUAAGCUUUCCAUCUUUUACAUGUACACCCCUAGCUAGAAUUCUUACAUUUAUCUCAUCUAGUUUAAGAUUUGUACUAUUCAAUAAUGAUCUUUCUCUCUCUCUCUUAUUUGACUGUGUGUUGUUGAAGUAUAUGAUGUGUGUUGAUUUCAUGGUUUCCAAGUUGACGUGGAUGGUCAUUUAUGUUAUUUUCUUGUCAAAAGUAUGUUGUUCAUAUUACAUUGCUUUUCUUCUUGUGCUGUGUGCUUUUUCAUCCUGUUUUCUUCUGUUAUUAGCUUUCCGUAGUGGGACCCAUUUCUAACAUACCUUGUUACUUCAAUCGCUAAAGGAAGCCAUUAAAGAUAUAGUUCAACCAUCAUUGAGAAGAGAAGGAUUUUCUUCUGUGCCUGAUGUCACAUGGGCUUGUGUCGGAGGUCUUGAUUCAUUAAAGAAGGAAUUGAACCGCUCCAUCGUUCGAUGUAUCAAGUACCCUGAAUAUUAUAAGGUGCAUCAUCUUAACUUUCUUCAUUCUGUUAUAUGGUUUCAAUAGUGAUUUGGUCCCAUAAAAGUUCAGUCCUCUUCACAGUAUGGACAGCUAAUCGAAUCAUAAGACAUCCAUGGCGCUUAUUUGAAAUAUUUGUUUUCAAGCAAUUUCUUUAACAUUCUCUUUAUCCUUUAUUUGUGUUUUCAUGUCCUCUCAAGAAAUUUGGAGUAAACAUGCAAGCUGGUGUGUUGCUGUUUGGACCUCCGGGCUGUGGGAAAACACUAAUAGCAAAAGCAGUUGCACACGACGCAGGGGCUAAUUUUAUUCAUAUUAAGGUAGAUUGAUGCUUAGAUUUCCAUAUUCUCAGUCAGUAUACUCCUUCCAUUUUCGUGGAAAUUGCUUAUUUACCGCUGAUUAUUGCUCAUUCAAAAGAGUGUUGCUUGUUUAACUGUCAAAAACGGAAUUGAUUGCUCACAUGCUAUCGACUGCUAAGUGGCUGCUAAACUCCGUCGGUUAAAUGGUUUUAAAUUUAUCUUUUCCUUUCUUUCUAAACGAGCAUAAAAAUAUUACUCUGUACCUUAUCUGUCACUAGAGAGAAUGAACAAAGUGACGGUGCAGUUACCAUUUUUUGCCUUUGCGACAUCAGCAUUGGCUUCUAAUGAUUCUGGAUGAACCUCUUUGCCAUUCUGGCAUCUAUAUCCACAGCCCUUGCGAACUGGAUAUUGUUGUCGCCCAUUUCCUUCUCUUGCCCUUGCUAUUCUCAAAAUACUUCUUUGGACAUUGUUGCUGCCCUUUCUUUGCUUGCCCUUGCUACUCUCGACACCACUCUUGUGCAACCAUAGAAUCGCAUCAUCCGGUAAUAGUGUUGAAGUGUAUAUGUGGAUUGCCUAGCCCUUUCCAUCAGUUCGGAAUCUUGGUUCGUUCCAUUGGCCAGUGCAUGAAGCUUGACAAAUAGUACCUCUUGCAGCCAUGGAAUCCCAUCCAUGGAAGCCGCUGGCAGCCGGAUUUUUUUUUUUUUUUACAAAUCAAUUGAUCUGGUUAUUGUGCUGGUGCUGUUGUGAGUGAACCUUCUGUUCAACUGAGUCGAGGGUAGUUUUGGCAUUACCGGGAGAAACUAACAGCUCUAUACGAUUUAACUGAAAUCUUUUAAUAGGAUAAUGGCGAUGGUAUGUUGGCAACGAAUUGAGUUUUACAAUGCUAACUACGCAACAUUCAUUUUUUAAUAGCAAGUGAGCUAUUGAGGAGUUAUUCAGUGGUAAAUAAGCAAUUUCCUCUUCAGUUCUGUACAGACUGCUCAGAUAUUUCUUUCUCUGGAACUUUAGGGUCCUGAAGGAUUGAACAAGUAUGUUGGGGAGAGUGAAGCAUAUAUAAGGAGGACAUUCGCCCGUGCACGACUCAACUCCCCGUGCAUUUUAUUUUUUGACGAGGUAAAAUUUCUGUUUAGCUAUUUUUGUAUUCCCUCCGUUCAGAAAUAAAUUUGAACUAAAACAGCGUCUCUUGUUUCCAAAUGGAGGUAGUAUACUUUAAUCUGUUGAUGGGAACUUGGCUCAGUCUCUUAACAAAUUUGCAUGUUUGGUACAUUUGUGCUACUGGAAGUGACCAGCAACUUGUGGGUCUUGGUUGUGAAGGUGCUUUUCUCAUCAUAUGUUUCUCAAGUGUUUAUUGACUGAUGUGCCAGAUAGAUGCUUUGACAACAAAAAGAGGUAUGGAGGGAGCAUGGGUUGUUGAACGUCUCCUAAACCAGGUUUGGACAUCUUAUGUAUCACCUGUAUGUUUGGCAAAAUACCGAGAUUCUUUAUUAAUUUGUUUGUUCCUUUGCUCAGCGUUAUUCUACUUGUUCUGAUCGCAGUUACUUAUUGAACUUGAUGGUGCUGAUCAGCGUGAAGGUGUUUAUGUUAUUGGAGCUACAAAUAGGUAUUGUCAGCCACCGGGUUGUUCCUUUUUACUUAUUUGUCCUUGAAAGGAAGGCGUCAACAUGCAGUUUCAUGUAUGGUGCAGAAUUGAUGUGAUAGAUGAUGCUCUUCUACGGCCUGGUAGAUUGGGGCAGAAGUAUUUUGUACCUUUGCCCAGUGCUAAUGAGCGGCAUUCGAUAUUAAAAGCUCUAAUAUGUUCUCAGAGAAAACCUGUAUCCUGCACUGUUGUUUUGGAUGCAUUUGCACGUCGUGAGGAGUGCAACAAUCUCUCUGGCGCUGACCUAGCAUUGCUGGUAAUUUCUGUGCCUUUUCAUUGAGUUGUCCCGUUAGAAAAUUUUCAAAGUGGGCAUUCUUUAAUUCUUUGUGAUGAAGCAUGUACUUUAAGAGAACAUCAAGGCAACUCACACACAUGCUUCCUUCUUAGGUGGACGAAGCAGCCAAGGAAGCUUUGGAUGAGAGUUUGGAACUCCUGGAGAAUGGGGCAUUAUCAAUAAGUUCACUGUGUUCAGUUGCUUCGAUUGAAUUAUCGCACUUUGAGCAAGCUCUGUCUAAAAUAAAGCCGUCGGUGUCAGAACAGGUACAUGACAUUCUGAUAACCAUUUAUUUUGCUUCACCCUCUUAUAGGAGCAUGUCUUAACUUUUCUUGCUGUUGGUCAUCACAGCAAAGGAAGCACUACGAGGCCUUGUCACAGAAAUACUCGGCAAUGUAACUGAUCCAUCACCAUGUAUCUGGGUGCCUCGGGAACCAUCUUGAUCUCUAAAUGAGGGUUCCAUGUAUUAUCUAUAUAAAUCAGUUAAGAGUAGUACUAGGAUGGAUGCCUUCAAAUUGCGUCAUUUUUCAUUUCCGAAUGCACCUUUGUGCAGCGGGUAUGCAAGGAUAUUACAAUUUUCAAUGGUCUUAAUGUUGAAUAUGAUCAUAAAAGGGAGGUCCUUGUGUUGCGUUCCUUUUUUUUACCUUCACAAAGUCCGUUCAUUCCACAAAAAUGAUAUUUUUUUUGCAUGAAACCAAAACCCUUCUUAAAAUAGUCAAAUCUUAAAAAACCCUGCUAUUUUUCAUUUCGAACGAACCUUUGUGCUACAUCUAUGCAUGGAUAUUUCAAUUUUCAACGGUUUUAUUGUGGGAUGUGAUCAUAUACCAACAUUAAGGCAUCGGAUCCCUUCAGAAUUCUGAAGUUAAGCUCCUUAUGUUGCAUUCCUCUUCUUUUUCUUACCUUCAUGAAGUCCGCUAAUUCCACAAAAACAAAAAUGUUCCAUCAAAUCGACACCCUUAUAUCAAAAUAAUCAAAUAUUGUGCAAGAAAUCCUCCAAUAGCUGGUCUUAAAUACUCCCUCUGUUCACUUUUAUAAGAAGUUUUAGAUGGUUCAGACAGCUCCCAAAACAGUUCAAAAUAAGAUCUAACCUAUGACAUACUGGUCUUAAAUAAGAGGUAUUGCUCACGAAGAUCUAACCUACGACAUACUGGUCUUAAAUAAGAGCUAUUGCUCACAAAGAUGUAACCUACGACAUACUCGCUCCGUUCCAUAAUAUAAGGUGUAUUGAUUUCCGUGCAAGUCAACCGUUUGAAUGUUUGACCAAGAUUAUACAAUAAAAUAACAUCUGCAAUACCUAAUCGAUAAAAUAUGAAGCUACUUUUUAAGAUGGAUCGAAUGAUAUAAAUUUUGUAUUGUGGAUAUUGAUAUAUUUUGCUAAAAACUUGGUCAAACAUGCACUCGUUUGACUUAAAAAAAAAUAAA
RNAcentral lists this long non-coding RNA (8324 nucleotides) under Triticum aestivum (bread wheat). RNAcentral's name for it is "long non-coding RNA (TAES_LNC026314)". Lineage: Eukaryota; Viridiplantae; Streptophyta; Magnoliopsida; Poales; Poaceae. The record is from RNAcentral.